This 492-nucleotide ribosomal RNA is filed under the name uncultured bacterium. RNAcentral describes it as "partial 16S ribosomal RNA". It matches the Rfam family "Bacterial small subunit ribosomal RNA", at positions 29 to 507 of the family's 1533-position model. The record is from RNAcentral.
AGUGAACGCUGGCGGUAGGCCUAACACAUGCAAGUCGAACGGCAGCACGGUAAGAGCUUGCUCUUACGGGUGGCGAGUGGCGGACAGGUGAGGAAUACAUCGGAAUCUACUUUUUCGUGGGGGAUAACGUAGGGAAACUUACGCUAAUACCGCAUACGACCUACGGGUGAAAGCAGGGGAUCUUCGGACCUUGCGCGAUUGAAUGAGCCGAUGUCGGAUUAGCUAGUUGGCGGGGUAAAGGCCCACCAAGGCGACGAUCCGUAGCUGGUUUGAGAGGAUGAUCAGCCACACUGGAACUGAGACACGGUCCAGACUCCUACGGGAGGCAGCAGUGGGGAAUAUUGGACAAUGGGCGCAAGCCUGAUCCAGCCAUACCGCGUGGGUGAAGAAGGCCUUCGGGUUGUAAAGCCCUUUUGUUGGGAAAGAAAAGCAGCAGGUUAAUACCCCGCUGUUCUGACGGUACCCAAAGAAUAAGCACCGGCUAACUUCGUG